This 279-nucleotide unclassified non-coding RNA is filed under the name Hevea brasiliensis (rubber tree). Lineage: Eukaryota; Viridiplantae; Streptophyta; Magnoliopsida; Malpighiales; Euphorbiaceae. The record is from RNAcentral.
CCCAUCAUGGGCAUCAUUUUGUUAGGCAAAUGAUAACCCUGACCCUGACCCUGACCCUGACCCAGACCAUGUCCAUAACCAUGACCAAACUCCUCCUCCUCAUCAUCAUCAUCAAAAUCAUCAUCAAACUCGUCAAAUUCGUCAUCAAAUUCAUCAUCAAAAUCAUCAUCAUCACUUGCAUCAAUAUAAUCAUCCUGCAAGUUGAACUUGACAGAUUUCUGGUCUUUAUGAGGUUGCAUCUUUAGAUCCUUAGAUCCUUUGAAUUGUUGCAUUUGGUGU